UCUUUCAAAUGAUCAAAUCUUCUGUUUUAUCACUUUAUUGGUUGCGGCGGAAUUGCAGCCAGAACAAAGUUGGGAGGAAAGAUCAAGUUUGUGAGGAAAGAACAGAGUUGGCGAAGACCAAUUCUUGAUAGAUCGUGUGGCGAAGACCAUUGAGCGAGAUUCUUCUUGGUCUCCGAAGGGUCCCUCCGAACAAGAAGAAUUAGAAGAACAGGCGAAGACCAAUUCUUGAUAGUUCAUGAGGCCAAGUCCAGUUUUCUUUCCUGUUAAGAUGGGUGUCCCUCCGUUUCAGGUUAUUCUUGAGUCUGCGAAACCCUAGUUCCCAAUUCAAUACCGAAUCCGGACAACAUCUUAGUAUUCAGCCCACAGAACUCAAAUUCCCCUAGAUUAAGGGACCAAACUCUGUCUCUGCCAAAAGUGAUAAAUGCAAAAUACUCUCUUAAAAGGAAGACAUUGUCGUCAAGUAAAGAAGGAACUGGUGUACGUUAUCCCAAAAUAUCAAACAGGAAAGCAGACUACCAAGUCCAAGGGAAUUAAAGUUUGACAAGAGGUUUAUGAAGGAGCCACCAACAGAUUUAUUCAGCAAGCUCUCACUUGCACCUGAAGCCCAUCAUAAUGCAAAACCUGAGCUUAAAACUGCCUAUGCCUGCUAAGGUUAGAACAUGUUCUAUGGAGCUCAGAAGCUUUUAUGUUUUACAUAUUUGUUAGAUUAUACAUGGUUUGUUUUGUUAUGUGAAUUAAGAUCCUAAAUUUGUUCAAAAAUGUCGGACUGGUUCGGUGAAAAGUGACGGGAGGAUCCUUGAAAAAUAAACAUCAUUUUUCGCAUGAACAGGUGGAUGCUUUAAUUUCUUGACCUUCUGAUCUUGUGAGCUUAUUGCCAGGAGUCAUUUGUCUUGUGAGCAGUUUGGCACCUUUUUGUCAAAUUUUAAGGAAUUAAACGCCCACGAGCAAAGAAAAUUGAGCUCAGGACUCUGCAGAAGACUGAUGAGAUAUUUGGGACAGAGAAUAAGGACGUAUACACUAUAUUGGAGGAUUGAUCAGUCAAACGUCUAUAGAACCCUAUACCCCAUAUUCAUAUUGGAAAGGUUGCUAACAGUCCAUUGAACUUGUGGCAAUUGGAUUCUGUAAAUUUAAUCCAUUUUUCAUGUAAUUAAAUAUGAAUCUGCAAUAAGUCAAUUCUUUGAAUUCGUGUAUCUGUACAAGUAGCAACUCUGAGAAUGUUAGCAAAUGAAUUGUUCCGACUUAUUCACUAGCCUUGAGACUUCAGUUAAAGG
This is a long non-coding RNA of Rosa chinensis, 1271 nucleotides long. RefSeq lists it as uncharacterized. The record is from RefSeq and is a predicted model, not a curated record. Lineage: Eukaryota; Viridiplantae; Streptophyta; Magnoliopsida; Rosales; Rosaceae. The transcript has 4 exons.